AYGGUCUGUGAGGUAGAGCUGCCCAGCUGCGGGCCCUGAGUGGUGCUCACUUAAAAUUCUGGUGUUUUAUUAGGUUAGAAUCAGAUUCUCCAGCAAAGGGUGAGACUGCAAGAUGUGGAAACCACAAGGGGAUAUCUGAGAGAAAGGGUUAUUCAUGGCUUCCUCCUUUGGUGGCUGCAGCGUCUUCUGACUGUUGUGACGGAGCCUGACGCUGGCCAGCGGCCACCACCRAGCUUAAGCAUGGAGUCAAAGGGGGCCCUGAAGGCAGCCUUUCAUCUUGGGAUGCAACCUCACCUAUGCCUAACCUGUCACCCUGGGUUUUUGAAUUCAUAAAUUCCUCUCCUUAUUUAUUUAUUUAUUUGCAAUAAAACAUUUAGAGUUGAAUUUUCU
This 390-nucleotide long non-coding RNA is filed under the name Urocitellus parryii (Arctic ground squirrel). RNAcentral's name for it is "lncRNA (ENSUPAG00010001040.1)". Lineage: Eukaryota; Metazoa; Chordata; Mammalia; Rodentia; Sciuridae. The record is from RNAcentral.